Long non-coding RNA from Carcharodon carcharias (great white shark), 1068 nucleotides. RefSeq lists it as uncharacterized. The record is from RefSeq and is a predicted model, not a curated record. The transcript is spliced from 2 exons. Lineage: Eukaryota; Metazoa; Chordata; Chondrichthyes; Lamniformes; Lamnidae.
UGCUGCAACUCAUGACCUAAUGGAGGGAUAAUAAUUCGAGAACAGGAAACAAGUUGUCUUCUUAGGGAAACGACUUCACAAUGAGUUACGAAGCCUAUGUGAUAAGUUUGACACUCACCUAUAUUCUAUCUGCUAAUGCCGAUUAUGCAGUAAAACUACCCAAGUGAAUGGCAUUCAUGCUGAGGGAGAACUAGGUUCAUCACAGUACAGGAAAAAAUAACUUGCAUUCGUAUAGUGCUCCUCCUACAUAGGGAAACAUAUUGAAGGUGGAUACAAAUUUGUUUUUACACAAUGGACUAAUUUAUAAUCGGAUAAAUUCUGGGUUUUUGAAAAAAACUGAAGCCCUGUAACAGACAAUGGGGUUGCCCAGGCAGCUAAAAUACACAGCUUGCAUUCCACCAAGUGGGAUGGGAUAAAAGGCAGUCAACCCCCCUGGGCAGCUUGAAAGACCUCAUCUCCUGUUGGCUUUACGCUAUCCUGAAACUUUGCAAAUGUUUUUGAGAUGAGACAUCAAAAUGCAAUUGCUUAUUCUAAAACAAUGUCUGCAGCAUGGACUAAUGGAAUUUGCCGUCAGGAAAUAUUCUUCAGCCAUCAAGGUACUUUAAGGGACUGUGUUACCAAACAGGAGAGAGCUCCAGAAUGUUGUACUGAAACAGGUGGCUGAAGUUGUUUGUCCCCUCUGCUGCUCUCUCUCUGACGUAUUAUGCCCGGAUUUGCAAAGUAACCACACUGAAAAGAGAAAUCUACUUCAAACCGAGAUCUUUUGGGAGCAAAAUGUGGAAAUGUGCUCCAUAAAACUACCCUUAGGAAGACAACUGAACAAAUGGCCACUCUGUGGAAUCAUCACAUUGAGAACAGCCAAAGAACAGCUAACCGUAUACUCCUUUGUUUUAUCUUCGUCACGAACUGUAAAAACUCCCUAAGCCUAUCCUGUUAUUCUGCCAUCUGUACUAGUGUGUGUAUGGGCCCAGGGAAUGUGUGUUGUGUAUGAAUCGUGGUUGGGAUUUAUGUAGCUGUGUUUUGAUUUGGGAAAUAGUUUCAAUAAACUUAUCUUAUUCUUUGUUUAAA